This 593-nucleotide long non-coding RNA is filed under the name Ananas comosus (pineapple). RNAcentral describes it as "long non-coding RNA (ACOM_LNC012888)". Lineage: Eukaryota; Viridiplantae; Streptophyta; Magnoliopsida; Poales; Bromeliaceae. The record is from RNAcentral.
AUAUAUAUAUAUAUAUAGAGAGAGAGAGAGAGAGAGAAUUAUGCUAUUAUACUAUCGAUCGAUAGUACCAAACGCUUGGUACUAUCGAAUUUUCGGCCAUUGGAUGAGAGGAUAUGCGGUUAGAAUGAUAGUGAUCUUUUAGGAUAGAGUGGAUAGUUGGUUGAAUAGUAUGAUCUAACGGGUGAAAAUAAUCAACAAGUGGAUCUAACGGCAGAAAACUCAAUAAUAUCAAAAGUUUAGUACUAUCAAUAAUAUAGUAGCCGAACUCUACAUAUAUAUAUAUAUAUAUAUAUAUAUAUGUAGUAGAGCUACUAUACUAUCGGAAAAAUAGAGGAUUUGAUGCUUUCGAUUUUUUGGCCCUUAAAUUAAUUUCUUUAAUAAUUUCUAAUCUUUGGAUUAAUACUAUUAUCAUAUAAAGACCACUCAAUCCUAUGGAUACUACUCAACCCUAGAGGGGACCGCAAUUAUUCUAAUUGUAUAAUUCUUAAUCCAAUGAUCAAAAAAUUAAAAGUAUCAAAUUUUCUAUAUUUUCGAUAGUAUAGUAGCUCUACACUAUAUAAAUAUAUAUACAACUCUCCACCACAAGCCUACAA